CCUACGGGGUGCAGCAGUGGGGGAUAUUGCACAAUGGGGGGACCCUGAUGCAGCGACGCCGCGUGGGUGAAGGAGUUCUUCGGCCUGUAAAGCCCUAUCGGCAGGGAAGAAGCAAGACGGUACCUGACUAAGAAGCCCCGGCUAACCACGUGCCAGCCGCCGCGGUAAUACGUAGGGGGCGAGCGUUAGCCGGAUUCACCUGGUGUAAAGGGAGCGUAGACGGCCAUGCAAGGCAGGGGUGAAAGCCCGGGGCCCAACCCCGGGACUGCCCUUGGAACUGUGCGGCUAGAGUGCGGGAGGGGCAGGCGGAAUUACUGGGGUAGCGGUGAAAGGCGUAGAUAUCAGGAGGAACACCGGCGGCGAAGGCGGCCUGCUGGACCGCGACUGACGUUGAGGCUCGAAAGCGUGGGGAGCGAACAGGAUUAGAUACCCCAGUAGUC
This 440-nucleotide ribosomal RNA is filed under the name uncultured bacterium. Its description in RNAcentral is "partial 16S ribosomal RNA". It matches the Rfam family "Bacterial small subunit ribosomal RNA", at positions 338 to 795 of the family's 1533-position model. The record is from RNAcentral.